RNAcentral lists this ribosomal RNA (342 nucleotides) under Triticum aestivum (bread wheat). RNAcentral describes it as "partial small subunit ribosomal RNA". Lineage: Eukaryota; Viridiplantae; Streptophyta; Magnoliopsida; Poales; Poaceae. The record is from RNAcentral.
AUGGGUCGGCAAAAAAUUUGGAGGGAUAGGAUCGAUGCCCACAACAGAUUGAUCAGGCAUUAUUUUGCGGAGAAUCCCACAUACCCCGAGUCGUAUUUUCGUCGCCGGUUUAGGUUGAGCACCGAGUUGUUCAGGCGCAUUGCAUAGAAACUAGCGAGCCAUGACCGCUUUUUUCAGCAAAGGAGGAAUGCCGCCGGAGAGCACGGGCAUAGCACCUUUCAGAAGGUGACAGCCGAUUUGCGUAUGUUGGCAUACGGUAUACCGGCUGAUUUGUGCGUUCGUUAUUGUAUUGUUGAACUAUUUGUUUUGUUUAAUUGCACUAUUUGUUGUAUUGAACGAUAA